AGUGAACGCUGGCGGUAGGCCUAACACAUGCAAGUCGAACGGCAGCACAGUAAGAGCUUGCUCUUACGGGUUGCGAGUGGCGGACGGGUGAGGAAUACAUCGGAAUCUACUUUUUCGUGGGGGAUAACGUAGGGAAACUUACGCUAAUAUCGCAUACGACCUACGGUUGAAAGCAGUGGAUCUUCGCACCUUGCGCGAUUGAAUGAGCCGAUGUCGGAUUAGCUAGUUGGCGGGGUAAAGGCCCACUAAGUCGACGAUCCGUAGCUGGACUGAGAGGAUGAUAGGCGACACUGGAACUGAGCCAGGGUCCAGACUCCUACGGGAGGCAGCAGUGGGGAAUAUUGGACAAUGGGCGCAAGCAUGAUCCAGCCAUACCGCGUGGGUGACGGAGGCGUUCGGGUUGUAAAGCCCUUUUGUUGGGAGAAAAAAGCAGCAGGUUAAUACCCCGCUGUUCUGACGGUACCCAAAGAAUAAGCACCGGCUAACUUCGUG
This 492-nucleotide ribosomal RNA is filed under the name uncultured bacterium. Its description in RNAcentral is "partial 16S ribosomal RNA". It matches the Rfam family "Bacterial small subunit ribosomal RNA", at positions 29 to 507 of the family's 1533-position model. The record is from RNAcentral.